RNAcentral lists this ribosomal RNA (2906 nucleotides) under Klebsiella oxytoca. Its description in RNAcentral is "23S ribosomal RNA". It matches the Rfam family "Bacterial large subunit ribosomal RNA". Lineage: Bacteria; Pseudomonadati; Pseudomonadota; Gammaproteobacteria; Enterobacterales; Enterobacteriaceae. The record is from RNAcentral.
GGUUAAGCGACUAAGCGUACACGGUGGAUGCCCUGGCAGUCAGAGGCGAUGAAGGACGUGCUAAUCUGCGAAAAGCGUCGGUAAGGUGAUAUGAACCGUUACAGCCGGCGAUGUCCGAAUGGGGAAACCCAGUGCAAUUCGUUGCACUAUCGUUAACUGAAUACAUAGGUUAACGAGGCGAACCGGGGGAACUGAAACAUCUAAGUACCCCGAGGAAAAGAAAUCAACCGAGAUUCCCCCAGUAGCGGCGAGCGAACGGGGAGCAGCCCGGAGUCUGAAUCAGCUUGUGUGUUAGUGGAAGCGUCUGGAAAGUCGCAGGGUACAGGGUGAUACUCCCGUACACUAAAACACACAGGCUGUGAACUCGAAGAGUAGGGCGGGACACGUGGUAUCCUGUCUGAAUAUGGGGGGACCAUCCUCCAAGGCUAAAUACUCCUGACUGACCGAUAGUGAACCAGUACCGUGAGGGAAAGGCGAAAAGAACCCCGGCGAGGGGAGUGAAAAAGAACCUGAAACCGUGUACGUACAAGCAGUAGGAGCCCACUAGUUGGGUGACUGCGUACCUUUUGUAUAAUGGGUCAGCGACUUAUAUUCUGUAGCAAGGUUAACCGUAUAGGGGAGCCGCAGGGAAACCGAGUCUUAACUGGGCGUUAAGUUGCAGGGUAUAGACCCGAAACCCGGUGAUCUAGCCAUGGGCAGGUUGAAGGUUGGGUAACACUAACUGGAGGACCGAACCGACUAAUGUUGAAAAAUUAGCGGAUGACUUGUGGCUGGGGGUGAAAGGCCAAUCAAACCGGGAGAUAGCUGGUUCUCCCCGAAAGCUAUUUAGGUAGCGCCUCGUGAAUUCAUCUUCGGGGGUAGAGCACUGUUUCGGCUAGGGGGUCAUCCCGACUUACCAACCCGAUGCAAACUACGAAUACCGAAGAAUGUUAUCACGGGAGACACACGGCGGGUGCUAACGUCCGUCGUGAAGAGGGAAACAACCCAGACCGCCAGCUAAGGUCCCAAAGUCAUGGUUAAGUGGGAAACGAUGUGGGAAGGCCCAGACAGCCAGGAUGUUGGCUUAGAAGCAGCCAUCAUUUAAAGAAAGCGUAAUAGCUCACUGGUCGAGUCGGCCUGCGCGGAAGAUGUAACGGGGCUAAACCAUGCACCGAAGCUGCGGCAGCGACACUAUGUGUUGUUGGGUAGGGGAGCGUUCUGUAAGCCGUUGAAGGUGGCCUGUGAGGGUUGCUGGAGGUAUCAGAAGUGCGAAUGCUGACAUAAGUAACGAUAAUGCGGGUGAAAAACCCGCACGCCGGAAGACCAAGGGUUCCUGUCCAACGUUAAUCGGGGCAGGGUGAGUCGACCCCUAAGGCGAGGCCGAAAGGCGUAGUCGAUGGGAAACAGGUUAAUAUUCCUGUACUUGGUGUUACUGCGAAGGGGGGACGGAGAAGGCUAUGUUGGCCGGGCGACGGUUGUCCCGGUUUAAGCAUGUAGGCGGAUGUUCCAGGUAAAUCCGGAACGUCACUAACGCUGAGGUGUGAUGACGAGGCACUACGGUGCUGAAGUGACAAAUGCCCUGCUUCCAGGAAAAGCCUCUAAGCAUCAGGUAACAUCAAAUCGUACCCCAAACCGACACAGGUGGUCAGGUAGAGAAUACCAAGGCGCUUGAGAGAACUCGGGUGAAGGAACUAGGCAAAAUGGUGCCGUAACUUCGGGAGAAGGCACGCUGAUGGUAAGUGAAGUGACUUGCUCACGGAGCUGAAAUCAGUCGAAGAUACCAGCUGGCUGCAACUGUUUAUUAAAAACACAGCACUGUGCAAACACGAAAGUGGACGUAUACGGUGUGACGCCUGCCCGGUGCCGGAAGGUUAAUUGAUGGGGUUAUCCUCACGGAGAAGCUCUUGAUCGAAGCCCCGGUAAACGGCGGCCGUAACUAUAACGGUCCUAAGGUAGCGAAAUUCCUUGUCGGGUAAGUUCCGACCUGCACGAAUGGCGUAAUGAUGGCCAGGCUGUCUCCACCCGAGACUCAGUGAAAUUGAACUCGCUGUGAAGAUGCAGUGUACCCGCGGCAAGACGGAAAGACCCCGUGAACCUUUACUAUAGCUUGACACUGAACACUGGUCCUUGAUGUGUAGGAUAGGUGGGAGGCUUUGAAGUGUGGACGCCAGUCUGCAUGGAGCCGUCCUUGAAAUACCACCCUUUAAUGGCUGGUGUUCUAACGUGGGCCCCUAAUCGGGGUUGCGGACAGUGUCUGGUGGGUAGUUUGACUGGGGCGGUCUCCUCCUAAAGAGUAACGGAGGAGCACGAAGGUCAGCUAAUCCUGGUCGGACAUCAGGAGGUUAGUGCAAUGGCAUAAGCUGGCUUGACUGCGAGCGUGACGGCGCGAGCAGGUGCGAAAGCAGGUCAUAGUGAUCCGGUGGUUCUGAAUGGAAGGGCCAUCGCUCAACGGAUAAAAGGUACUCCGGGGAUAACAGGCUGAUACCGCCCAAGAGUUCAUAUCGACGGCGGUGUUUGGCACCUCGAUGUCGGCUCAUCACAUCCUGGGGCUGAAGUAGGUCCCAAGGGUAUGGCUGUUCGCCAUUUAAAGUGGUACGCGAGCUGGGUUUAGAACGUCGUGAGACAGUUCGGUCCCUAUCUGCCGUGGGCGCUGGAGAAUUGAGGGGGGCUGCUCCUAGUACGAGAGGACCGGAGUGGACGCAUCACUGGUGUUCGGGUUGUCAUGCCAAUGGCAUUGCCCGGUAGCUAAAUGCGGAAGAGAUAAGUGCUGAAAGCAUCUAAGCACGAAACUUGCCCCGAGAUGAGUUCUCCCUGACUCCUUGAGAGUCCUGAAGGAACGUUGAAGACGACGACGUUGAUAGGCCGGGUGUGUAAGCGCAGCGAUGCGUUGAGCUAACCGGUACUAAUGAACCGUGAGGCUUAACCUU